This 324-nucleotide ribosomal RNA is filed under the name uncultured eukaryote. RNAcentral describes it as "partial 18S ribosomal RNA". It matches the Rfam family "Eukaryotic small subunit ribosomal RNA", at positions 1470 to 1796 of the family's 1831-position model. The record is from RNAcentral.
CCCUUAGAUGUUCUGGGCCGCACGCGCGCUACACUGAUGCAUUCAACGAGUUUCUUCCUGGUCCGAGAGGAAUGGGUAACCUUUUGAAAGUGCAUCGUGAUAGGGAUAGACUAUUGCAAUUAUUGGUCUUCAACGAGGAAUUCCUAGUAGACGUAGUUCAUCAGACUGCAUCGAUUACGUCCCUGCCCUUUGUACACACCGCCCGUCGCUCCUUCCGAUUGAAUGCUCAGGUGAGCCAUUCGGACUUUCAUCAUGCUGGUUUCCAGUUUUGAUGAAGGAAAGUCUUGCGAACCUUAUCAUUUAGAGGAAGGAGAAGUCGUAACA